GGGGAUGUAGCUCAGAGGGAGAGCACCUGCCUUGCACGCAGGGGGUCGUCGGUUCGAAUCCGAUCAUCUCCACCA
This 75-nucleotide transfer RNA is filed under the name Synergistota bacterium. RNAcentral describes it as "Synergistetes bacterium tRNA-Ala". It matches the Rfam family "tRNA". From Rfam's summary of the family: Transfer RNA (tRNA) molecules are approximately 80 nucleotides in length. Their secondary structure includes four short double-helical elements and three loops (D, anti-codon, and T loops). Further hydrogen bonds mediate the characteristic L-shaped molecular structure. tRNAs have two regions of fundamental functional importance: the anti-codon, which is responsible for specific mRNA codon recognition, and the 3' end, to which the tRNAs corresponding amino acid is attached (by aminoacyl-tRNA synthetases). tRNAs cope with the degeneracy of the genetic code in two manners: having more than one tRNA (with a specific anti-codon) for a particular amino acid; and 'wobble' base-pairing, i.e. permitting non-standard base-pairing at the 3rd anti-codon position. RNAcentral also lists the same sequence under 1 other name. The record is from RNAcentral. Lineage: Bacteria; Thermotogati; Synergistota.